This 306-nucleotide ribosomal RNA is filed under the name Triticum aestivum (bread wheat). RNAcentral's name for it is "partial small subunit ribosomal RNA". The record is from RNAcentral. Lineage: Eukaryota; Viridiplantae; Streptophyta; Magnoliopsida; Poales; Poaceae.
AUGAAAAAACACAAAGGGGUAGUUAGAAGAAGAGGGGAGAAUGUACAAAGGGAAGGGGAAUAUACAAGAGGGGGCUAUACAGAGAGCUAUACAAGGGAGUCAAGAAUCCCAAAUCUAAUUAUUCCACUUCAUUAUACACUAGAUCUUGCCAAUCUAUUUUUAUUGCAUGAAACUUGUACUAUUAAAGCAGCUGUUCUAAUACAGUUUCUAGCAAUGAGACGACUGUACAAUAUGUCCACUUCUGCCAUCAUAUGCUCAAAGUGGAUAGGUACCAGGGACAGGUAUUUUUUUGUGUUAAAUUAUUAG